Non-coding RNA from Oryza nivara, 203 nucleotides. The record is from Rfam. Lineage: Eukaryota; Viridiplantae; Streptophyta; Magnoliopsida; Poales; Poaceae.
AAAUAGUGCAGUAAUAAGUUUCUGUGCUCAACUUUGAUCGUACGUUUUAUUUGAAAUUUUUUAUAAUUAGUAUUUUUGUUGUUAUGAGACGAUAAAAUAUGAAUAGUACUUUACUCGUGACUUAUGUUUUUAUUUUUUUCAAAAAAAUUUCAAAUAAGACGAAUGGUCAAAGUUGGGCGUGGAAAACCAUGGCUGCACUUAUU